Molecule: ribosomal RNA, 1557 nt
Filed under: Fidelibacterota bacterium
Lineage: Bacteria; Pseudomonadati; Fidelibacterota
Description: partial 23S ribosomal RNA
Rfam family: Bacterial large subunit ribosomal RNA
Source: RNAcentral
GCCGAGGCCGAAAGGCGUAGGCGAUGGAAAACAGGUUUAAUAUUCCUGUACCAGUGCAACAUUGUUUGAACUAAGGGGGGACGCAGAAGUGAAAGGUCAGCCCGGUUUUGAUAGUCCGGGUUUAAGUGCGUAGGGAGUCCUGGUAGGCAAAUCCGCCGGGACAUUAAUCCUGAGACACGAAUAGGAGAGCCUAGCUCAUAAACUGACCCUAAUCAUACUGCCAAGAAAAUCCUCUAUGUUAGAUGCUGCGCUGACCGUACCGUAAACGGACACACGUGGGCGAGGAGAGUAUCCUCAGGCGCUUGUGAGAAUCCAGGUUAAGGAACUCGGCAAAUUAGCCCCGUAACUUCGGGAGAAGGGGUGCCCUUAUUAGGUGAUAGACUUCGCGUCUGGAGCCGAAAGGGGCCGCAGUGACCAGGCUCAAUCGACUGUUUACUAAAAACACAGGUCUCUGCUAAGUCGCAAGACGACAUAUAGGGACUGACACCUGCCCGGUGCUGGAAGGUUAAAUGGAAGGGUUAGCUUCGGCAAAGCUCUGAAAUGAAGCCCCAGUAAACGGCGGCCGUAACUAUAACGGUCCUAAGGUAGCGAAAUUCCUUGUCGGGUAAGUUCCGACCUGCACGAAUGGUGUAACGAAUUGAGCACUGUCUCGACCUGGAGCACAGCGAAAUUGAAGUGUCGGUGAAGAUACCGGCUACCCGCGGCAGGACGAAAAGACCCCGUGAACCUUUACUACAACUUAGCAUUGGAUUCUGGUUCUGCAUGUGCAGGAUAGGUGGGAGGCUUUGAAGCUCGGACGCUAGUCCGGGUGGAGCCAACCUUGAAAUACCACCCUUGUAUUGCUAGAACUCUAAUCCCGACCCGUGAAUCCGGGCGAGAGACAGUGUUAGGUGGGUAGUUUGACUGGGGCGGUCUCCUCCCAAAAGGUAACGGAGGAGCUCAAAGGUUCCCUCAGCACGGUCGGUAAUCGUGCGUAGAGUGCAAAGGCAUAAGGGAGCUUAACUGCGAGGUCGACGGACCGAGCAGAUGCGAAAGCAGGACUUAGUGAUCUGGUGGUUCCGUAUGGAAGGGCCAUCACUCAACGGAUAAAAGGUACUCCGGGGAUAACAGGCUUAUCUCCCCCAAGAGUUCACAUCGACGGGGAGGUUUGGCACCUCGAUGUCGGCUCAUCACAUCCUGGAGCUGGAGAAGGUUCCAAGGGUUGGGCUGUUCGCCCAUUAAAGUGGUACGUGAGCUGGGUUUAGAACGUCGUGAGACAGUUCGGUCUCUAUCCGCCGUGGGCGCAAGAUAUUUGAGGGAAUCUGCUUCUAGUACGAGAGGACCGAAGUGGACGAACCUCUGGUGUACCAGUUGUUCCAUCAGGAGCACGGCUGGGUAGCUAUGUUCGGUCCGGAUAAGCGCUGAAAGCAUAUAAGCGCGAAACCGAUCCCAAGAUUAGAUAUCUCUAACAUAAGUUAAUAAGGCUCGUUGUAGACUACGACGUUGAUAGGCUGCAGGUGUAAGUGUAGUAAUACAUUCAGCCGAGCAGUACUAAUAAGCCGAACGGCUUUACCAAAU